Molecule: non-coding RNA, 30 nt
Filed under: Rattus norvegicus (Norway rat)
Lineage: Eukaryota; Metazoa; Chordata; Mammalia; Rodentia; Muridae
Source: RNAcentral
UGAAAUUGGGAUUGAAGAGUGCAAUGAUUU